This 296-nucleotide long non-coding RNA is filed under the name Neogale vison (American mink). Its description in RNAcentral is "Neovison vison (American mink) lncRNA (ENSNVIG00000013661.1)". The record is from RNAcentral. Lineage: Eukaryota; Metazoa; Chordata; Mammalia; Carnivora; Mustelidae.
ACAUAAUGCCUAUAGUUGGAGCCAGUUAAACUGGUAAACAUUGAAGUCUUCAGAAAACAAGUAAAGGAAUCCAAGGCAAGGAAGAAAGUAAAUUCAUCCUGGAAGGACUCAAAGCACUUUGAAAUUUUAAACGAAUGUAAUGAUAGCUGCUAAAACCACCUUUGUCACCAUAAUGGAUGAAGUACUUCAAAUUUAAACGAUUGAUCAUCCCUACAAGAGCUGCUAUGGUACCAAGGGAAGGUGAAAACUGAUGGACGAAAGUUUUACUACCAUGCACUGAAAAGAAAGCAUUGUCU